This 29-nucleotide non-coding RNA is filed under the name Mus musculus (house mouse). The record is from RNAcentral. Lineage: Eukaryota; Metazoa; Chordata; Mammalia; Rodentia; Muridae.
UAGCUAACUCUGGAGAGUUACGAGGAAGG